Molecule: transfer RNA, 87 nt
Filed under: Eubacteriales Family XIII. Incertae Sedis bacterium
Lineage: Bacteria; Bacillati; Bacillota; Clostridia; Peptostreptococcales; Anaerovoracaceae
Description: tRNA-Leu
Rfam family: tRNA
About the family: Transfer RNA (tRNA) molecules are approximately 80 nucleotides in length.
Source: RNAcentral
GCGGAUAUGGCGGAACUGGCAGACGCGCACGGUUCAGGUCCGUGUGCUCGAAAGGGCAUGGAAGUUCGAGUCUUCUUAUCCGCACCA